GCAGACACAGGGAUUGCCUCAGUAACGGCGAGUGAAGCGGCAAGAGCUCAACUUUGGAAUCGCUCCGGCGAGUUGUAGUCUGGAGGUGGCCACCACGAGGUGUUCUAGCAGCAGGCAAGUCCUUUGGAACAAGGCGCCAGCGAGGGUGACAGCCCCGUACCUGCUUUUGCUAGUGCUUCCUGUGGCCCACCGACGAGUCGAGUUGUUUGGGAAUGCAGCUCUAAGUGGGUGGUAAAUUCCAUCUAAGGCUAAAUAUUGGCGAGAGACCGAUAGCGAACAAGUACAGUGAUGGAAAGAUGAAAAGCACUUUGAAAAGAGAGUGAAACAGUACGUGAAAUUGUUGAAAGGGAAGGGCUUGCACCCAGACACGGUUUCGGCCGGGCCAGCAUCAAGUAGAACGGGGUUAAAAGACCUGGGGAAUGUAGCUACCUCUUGGUAGUGUUAUAGCCCUUGGGUGAUGACCCCUGUUUUGCUUGAGGACAGCGGUCUCUAGGAUGCUGGCGCAAUGGUUGCAAGCCACCCGUCUUGAAACACGGACCAAGGAGUCUAACGUCUAUGCGAGUGUACGGGUGAAAAACCCCUGCGCGGAAUGAAAGUAAGAGGUUGGAACCCUCUCGGGGGUGCACAAUCGACCGACCCAGAAGUGCUCGGACGGGUUUGAGUAGGAGCAUAGCUGUUGGGACCCGAAAGAUGGUGAACUAUACCUGAAUAGGGUGAAGCCAGAGGAAACUCUGGUGGAGGCUCGUAGCGGUUCUGACGUGCAAAUCGAUCGUCGAAUUUGGGUAUAGGGGCGAAAGACUAAUCGAACCAUCUAGUAGCUGGUUCCUGCCGAGU
This 834-nucleotide ribosomal RNA is filed under the name Candidozyma auris. RNAcentral's name for it is "eukaryotic LSU rRNA". It matches the Rfam family "Eukaryotic large subunit ribosomal RNA", at positions 56 to 966 of the family's 3401-position model. The record is from RNAcentral. Lineage: Eukaryota; Fungi; Ascomycota; Pichiomycetes; Serinales; Metschnikowiaceae.